ACGUCUACCAUUACGAUACCCGUGUAGUCCCAGCCGUAAACUAUGCGCGUUAGGUGUAUCGGUGACCACGAGUCACCGAGGUGCCGGAAGGGAAACCGUGAAACGUGCCGCCUGGAAGUACGGUCGCAAGGCUGAAACUUAAAGGAAUUGGCGGGGGAGCACCACAACAGGUGGAGCCUGCGGUUUAAUUGGACUCAACGCCGGGAAGCUCACCGGAUAGGACAGCAGAAUGAUUGCCGGGCUGAAGACCCUGCAUGACUAGCUG
This 265-nucleotide ribosomal RNA is filed under the name uncultured archaeon. RNAcentral's name for it is "partial 16S ribosomal RNA". It matches the Rfam family "Archaeal small subunit ribosomal RNA", at positions 719 to 982 of the family's 1478-position model. The record is from RNAcentral.